Molecule: long non-coding RNA, 750 nt
Organism: Catharus ustulatus (Swainson's thrush)
Lineage: Eukaryota; Metazoa; Chordata; Aves; Passeriformes; Turdidae
Exons: 3
Source: RefSeq, a predicted model, not a curated record
AUGAGGAUCCCCUCCCUGAGAAGAAGGUUCUGCUCUCGUGCUGGCCUGAACAGACUUGCACCACACUAUGGCAUUUGUGCUACUGACAUCCAAACAACAGUGAGAGCAAUUUUUUACUGUCCUCAGCCUCCCAGAUGCACUGCCUAAAAAUCUGUGACUAAUAGGCUCCACAUGAGUGACUCGUGCUGUAAAAACUUUCAGGGUGGAAAACUUCCAUCUAUACAUAUAGAUCUUCCUAGGCCUCCAGCAAGAACACCAGCAAGUGAAGAGGAUAAUGCACUCUCCCCUUUCCACCACAAGGAAGCUCAGAACAAUCAAUGACAAGCCACUGUUUGCAGUUAGAUCCUAUCUGCUUUUCUGGAGAGGAAAACUGGGGAUGCAAACAACAUUUGCAUGGCAAGAUUUUGUUUUCAGAAGAAGGAUGAGAGAAUAGUUGUUGAAAACUGUAAAAUCAACAUUGGAGGAAAAGAGAAGCUAGAAGCUAGACCAGAAAUUACAGUUCUGAUUUGGGUUAUUUACACUAUCCUGGGAAAUAAUUGAAUCCUUGUUCACCUGAGCAUAGAGGCUGACUGAUGUGCACACUGAAGGUAAAAGGUACUUGACUUAAGACCAAAAUUCCAGCUACUUUUUGUUCCACCAGUGCUGCAGCCAUGAAAUUUAUGUUCUUUUAGGCAGAUCCCAUACUCUAAAAGGCCACAGCUUGACCUUAAGAGAUUUAUUUUAAAAGAGACUGAGAAACUUGUCAAAAGA